CAGCACCCCCGCCCCCAACCCGGUCUCCAGCCGGGCCGGAGGGGGGCGGGAGCAGGCGCGGGUGGGAUGCGAACCGCCAAUGGGAGCCCCGAGAGACGCCCGGGAGGUGCGCGCUGCGGCCGGCCGGCCGGCCCGCCGAGGGAAGUGCAGCCAAUGGGCGCGCGCCCCACAUCCCGGGUUCAGGAGCGCCCCCACCCUGGCUGCUGACGUUCGGGCGGGUGGCGCCCAGGGCCACGCCCGGCUGUCGGUCGCGCCGGAGGGGCACCCGCUCGAAAGGUGGGAAGGAUACGGCCAGGCCAGCGCGGGAGAGCCCGGGGCAGCCAUUGUGGCGUGCUCCGUACCGCCUACGUGGGGCCCGGAGCGCCUUUUGGUGGGGCUGGUUCAGUAUUGGUCAAGAUGGCAAAAAAGAUGAACACAAUAAAAUAUAAGUGCUAUGAGAAGAGUCAAAAGAAUGUUCUGUGGGAACACUGAGGAUCAGCUGCCUAGAGGAGUCAAGAAAAGUUUCACAGACGAGGAUUCAGCUGCUCCUAUACUAAGGGGAAUGGAGUUACCACGCUUGGGCUGGAAGCAGACGGGGAGCGAAGAGCGCAUCACCAUGACUACUGCACCAACACACCACGCUGCAUCUCCAGACAAUGUCAGUUUUGGUCCUGAAGACUUGCUCUGGUUCCUGACCAGACGCUCUUGUUUAGUAUUCUUGGCCAGGACUCCUUGGACUGAGAGAGGGCGAUACCAGGCCAACAAGGCAUUACAUCUAAAGAAUGAGCUCAGCUAUAAUCCAGGUAUGGGGUUUUAAAAGGGAAACUUUUGAGGGCCCCAUCGGUGAGGCCACAGCCACCAGGCAGUGAACAGGGACCAAGUCCCUAGGAGGAGGGCACUGGCAAGAGUAAGGCAGUUUAGCAAUUUAAGUUGAAAUUCACAGAGAAGUAAACAUCAUGACUCAGGCAGCAUCGAUACUAAUCACUGGGUUCCCUAUCAUCUUCUGAGAACCUGAGAGCAGCCUAAGGGCAUGAUAACACAUUGAACUCCUGGGCUGGGAAGAUAAAUGUUACCAAACUUCAUCAGAUAUUUGGAUUGAAAAUUAUUUCAUAAUCCUAUAAUCUUAUAAAGUUUGAGAACCACAAUAGGGCAGACUUAGAUGCAAGAGCCAUCAGUGGAAAGACAGGGGAGGACAAAGACAGAGAGAACCAACAAGAUCUCCCUACUGGGAAGUGGAAGACAAAUGACCUUCCUUUUAUAUUAUGUAAGGCCCUAGAAUUUUGGAUAAUCAAGGAAAAUAGGAAGCCUAAGAGGGAGAUAAGGAAUCUUCUAUUGCUCUAGUGGAUGGGGGCACUAGUAAUUUAUUGAAAAAAGGAAUGAGCUGUCACAGUAUUUAUAUCCUGAUUUUGCGGAGUGGAAUAUACUGGUUGUGCGUAUAAUGGAGUACCGUGCAGCUGAUAAAAAUGAUACAAAUACACAUUUAUACAUUUACUUCAUGGAAAGAUGUCCACAACAUAUUGUUGAGGGAAAAAAGCAAGUUAUAAAAUGUCAUGUAUGUAUGAUCUCAUGUAUGUAAAAUAUUUCACAAAGAUCAAUAACAAGUAUGCCCUGUUCAUUUACUAUAAAAUAAAGUUAUACUUCUUCUAUUGUUCAAAUGAUAAUAGCUUCAAUUCUGUUCUUCUCAUUUUAGCAGCAAAUUGUUUUCUUUCUUGGGUCUCCUGCCCCAAGAUUCCUCAAUGACAUUCCUCAAUGUCACUUUUCACAGAACCAACUUUUACUUUUGCUGAUUUUUUUCCUACUGUGUUUCAUUCUGUAUUUUGUUUAUCUCUGCUUUGGUCUUUAUUAUUUUCUUCUUUCUAGCUUUGGGUUCAGCUUGCUUGAAGGUGCAAAGGUAGAUUAUUCCUUAAAUGACAAGACUCU
This is a long non-coding RNA of Equus caballus (horse), 1899 nucleotides long. RefSeq lists it as uncharacterized. NCBI's taxonomy places the organism in Eukaryota, Metazoa, Chordata, Mammalia, Perissodactyla, Equidae. The record is from RefSeq and is a predicted model, not a curated record.